AUUGAACGCUGGCGGCAUGCCUUACACAUGCAAGUCGAACGCGAAAGCGGGGCAACCCGCAAGUAGAGUGGCGAACGGGUGAGUAAUACAUCGGAACGUGUCCAGUAGCGGGGGAUAACCUCUCGAAAGAGAGGCUAAUACCGCAUACGACCUACGGGUGAAAGAGGGGGAUCGCAAGACCUCUCACUAUUGGAGCGGCCGAUGUCGGAUUAGCUAGUUGGCGGGGUAAAAGCCCACCAAGGCUACGAUCCGUAGCUGGUCUGAGAGGACGACCAGCCACACUGGAACUGAGACACGGUCCAGACUCCUACGGGAGGCAGCAGUGGGGAAUUUUGGACAAUGGGCGAAAGCCUGAUCCAGCCAUGCCGCGUGAGUGAAGAAGGCC
Molecule: ribosomal RNA, 385 nt
Filed under: uncultured bacterium
Lineage: Bacteria
Description: bacterial SSU rRNA
Rfam family: Bacterial small subunit ribosomal RNA
Source: RNAcentral